RNAcentral lists this ribosomal RNA (253 nucleotides) under uncultured bacterium. RNAcentral's name for it is "partial 16S ribosomal RNA". It matches the Rfam family "Bacterial small subunit ribosomal RNA", at positions 524 to 776 of the family's 1533-position model. The record is from RNAcentral.
UACAGAGGUCCCAAGCGUUGUUCGGAUUCACUGGGCGUAAAGGGCGCGUAGGCGGCUUCUUAAGCGUGUGGUGAAAGCUCGGGGCUCAACCUCGAGUCGGCCAUGCGAACUGGGAGGCUUGAGCACUGUAGAGGCAGGUGGAAUUCCGGGUGUAGCGGUGGAAUGCGUAGAGAUCCGGAAGAACACCGGUGGCGAAGGCGGCCUGCUGGGCAGUAGCUGACGCUGAGGCGCGACAGCGUGGGGAGCAAACAGG